UCUCCGUUGGUGAACCAGCGGAGGGAUCAUUACCGAGUUUACAACUCCCAAACCCAAUGUGAACGUUACCAAACUGUUGCCUCGGCGGGGUCACGCCCCGGGUGCGUCGCAGCCCCGGAACCAGGCGCCCGCCGGAGGAAUCAACCAAACUCUUUCUGUAGUCCCCUCGCGGACGUUAUUUCUUACAGCUCUGAGCAAAAAUUCAAAAUGAAUCAAAACUUUCAACAACGGAUCUCUUGGUUCUG
RNAcentral lists this unclassified non-coding RNA (245 nucleotides) under plant metagenome. Its description in RNAcentral is "partial contains small subunit ribosomal RNA, internal transcribed spacer 1, and 5.8S ribosomal RNA". The record is from RNAcentral.